CCUACGGGAGGCAGCAGUGAGGAAUAUUGGUCAAUGGACGCAAGUCUGAACCAGCCAAGCCGCGUGAAGGAAGACGGCUCUAGGGGUUGUAAACUUCUUUUAUACGGGAGUAAAAGGUGCUACGUGUAGCGGUAUGAAUGUACCUUAUGAAUAAGGAUCGGCUAACUCCGUGCCAGCAGCCGCGGUAAUACGGAGGAUUCAAGCGUUAUCCGGAUUGAUUGGGGUUAAAGGGUGCGUAGGCGGGUUGUUAAGUUAGAUGUGAAAACCCCGGGCUCAACCUUGGAACUGCAUUUGAAACUGUACGGCUUGAGUGCAGUAGAGGUAGGCGGAAUAUGUGGUGUAGCGGUGAAAUGCUUAGAUAUUAGGAAGAACACCGAUUGCGAAGGCAGCUUACUAGACUGCAACUGACGCUGAGGCACGAAAGCGUGGGGAGCAAACAGGAUUAGAUACCCGUGUAGUC
This 460-nucleotide ribosomal RNA is filed under the name uncultured bacterium. RNAcentral describes it as "partial 16S ribosomal RNA". It matches the Rfam family "Bacterial small subunit ribosomal RNA", at positions 338 to 795 of the family's 1533-position model. The record is from RNAcentral.